Molecule: ribosomal RNA, 870 nt
Filed under: Ceratosphaeria suthepensis
Lineage: Eukaryota; Fungi; Ascomycota; Sordariomycetes; Magnaporthales; Ceratosphaeriaceae
Description: LSU rRNA
Rfam family: Eukaryotic large subunit ribosomal RNA
Source: RNAcentral
GAAAAGAAACCAACAGGGAUUGCCCCAGUAACGGCGAGUGAAGCGGCAACAGCUCAAAUUUGAAAUCUGGCCCCCCGGGGCCCGAGUUGUAAUUUGCAGAGGAUGCUUUCGGCGAGGCCCCUUCCGAGUCCCCUGGAACGGGGCGCCAGAGAGGGUGAGAGCCCCGUACGGUUGGACGCCGAGCCGGUGUAAAGCUCCUUCGACGAGUCGAGUAGUUUGGGAAUGCUGCUCUAAAUGGGAGGUAAAUUUCUUCUAAAGCUAAAUAUAGGCCAGAGACCGAUAGCGCACAAGUAGAGUGAUCGAAAGAUGAAAAGCACCUUGGAAAGAGGGUUAAACAGUACGUGAAAUUGUUGAAAGGGAAGCGCUUGUGACCAGACUCGCGCCCGGCGGAUCAUCCGGCGUUCUCGCCGGUGCGCUCCGCCGGGCUCGGGCCAGCAUCGGUUUCCUCCGGGGGAUAAAGGCGCCGGGAACGUGGCUCCCCUCGGGGAGUGUUACAGCCCGGCGCGCAAUGCCCCGGCGGGGACCGAGGACCGCGCUUCGGCAAGGAUGCUGGCGUAAUGGUCAUCAGCGACCCGUCUUGAAACACGGACCAAGGAGUCAAGCAUUGGGGCGAGUGUUUGGGUGUCAAACCCGCACGCGAAAUGAAAGUGAACGCAGGUGAGAGCUUCGGCGCAUCAUCGACCGAUCCUGAUGUAUUCGGAUGGAUUUGAGUAGGAGCCUCAACGCUUGGACCCGAAAGAUGGUGAACUAUGCCUGUAUAGGGUGAAGCCAGAGGAAACUCUGGUGGAGGCUCGCAGCGGUUCUGACGUGCAAAUCGAUCGUCAAAUAUGGGCAUAGGGGCGAAAGACUAAUCGAACCAUCUAGUAGCUG